This 135-nucleotide non-coding RNA is filed under the name Prochlorococcus marinus subsp. pastoris str. CCMP1986. Lineage: Bacteria; Bacillati; Cyanobacteriota; Cyanophyceae; Synechococcales; Prochlorococcaceae. The record is from RNAcentral.
UUUAAUUUAGAAUAAAUCUAUUAAAAAUCAAUCUGCAAAAUUUACAAGUUUACGUAUAAAAGUUAAUUUUAGUCGCAAUAGAAAAGGCAUUCUUUUUUAGAGGGAUGCUCUUUGCACUCUGCAGCCCAAUAGUCU